GGAAGCUCCUUUUAUUGUAAAACAUCAUGAGCCAGAAAGACUGAAAAUAAAAGGUGGAAAAAAGACUGACCAGGCAAAUAUGAAACAAGGGACAAGCAGAAAAAGUGACACUGCUGUUUAAAAACAAAAAGUAACGGACAAAUGCAAGAGGUGUUAUCGGGACAAAGAUGGUGACAAAACAAACCCAUCAAACACUAAAGUUCUCAACACACAUGCUCCUAGUACUGUGGCCCCAAACGGUACAAAGCAAAAAACAAUACAAUGACAAACGGUUUGGCAAAUCCACAACUGUGAUGGGAAACCUUAAUGUAUUUCUCCAUUAGACAGACAUUGGUUGGAAAGAUGCAAUCAGUAAAGACGUGAACCCCACACUCAGCACCCUCGCUGGAAUGCCUCUGACAAUGAGACAGCUUUACAUCCCUCGUCUGACAUUCAGAUGUCCUCCUGUGUGCUGGCCCUGGGUUGGCGACAGAGAUGGGGACACAGAGAUGACACGGAGCUCGCCAGGAGGAGCUCAUGGGAAUGGGGGCAGGCAUCCAAAUAAACAGUCAUGGCCAACAUGAAUAUAUUAAAGAGCAAAGAAUGACCACAAGAGCAGUUAACACCCGCCACGAGCCAGGCUUUGCUCUGGGCGCUUUACAAAUAGUAACUCAUUUAAUUCUCACUAGUUUUCAUCUCAUUUCGAAGAUUAGGAAGUGGAGGCAGAGAAUGGCUAAAUAGCGCCGUUGUGGACACAGCUUUGUGGCUGAGCUUUGAAUCCAAGUCUGGCUGACACCAGCAUGCACGUAGCUCCUUCGCUGAGUUUAGGGACCAUUUUUCCUGGAUCAUCUUGUUCAGUCCUUAGGGCCUUUGCACUCUGUUUCCCUCUGCCUAGAAUACUCUUCCUCAGGUAUCCACAGGGCCCCCUCCCGUCCCUCCACCAGGUGUUGCUCAGAGAUCACCUGCCUUGACCUGCAUUGACUUAAAACUGCAGCCCUCGCCACAGACUCACACACUGUCCUUCCCAGAUUUGUUUUUCUCCUUAGCACACGUUACAAUCUCACCCACUCCCGAUUUUGUUUAUAAAGCUUAGUGUCGGCUUCCCUUACUGAAAUGAAAGCUUCCCCAGGGCUGAUAUUUUCAUCUCGUUUUUUGAUUUUUCCACUGCUAUCUUCCCAGCUUUUAGAACAGUACCCAGUGGUUGGCUACUACCAGUGGGCUCCCUCGAGGAGCAGCUGCUGGGGGGUAUUAGAAAUGCAGUCUUGGGGAGAUUCCAUUGUGGCCUCGUGGGUUAAAAAUCUGACAUAGUGUCCGUGAGACCGCCGGUUUGAUCCCUGGCUUUGCUGACUGGGUUAAGGACCCCAUGUUGCCACAAGUUGUGGGGUCGGUCACAGAUGUGGCUCAGAUCCGGCAUGGCUGUGGCUGUGGCUAUGGCCAGCAGCUGUAUCUCUGAUUUGGAUUUGACCCCUAGCCUGGGAAUGUCCAUAUGCCACAGGUACAGCUGUAAAAAGAAAAAAAGAAAAAAGAAACGCAGUAUUGGGCUCUGCCCUACACCUGCUGGAUCAGAACGUGCACUUCAACAAGCUCUCUGGGAGAUUCGCAUGCACAUUUCAGUUCGAGAAGGAACACCCCAGCACGUCGCAGGUGUGCAGUGUGUGUUUGUUUGAAUAAACCCCUAACACUGCCAUGCUGUCUGCCUUCUGCACAGCUGCUACAGGGACCUCUGGUGAGAAACGAGCUGGUCCAGCCAAGUCCACCAGCAGAAAUCCUGCUCCCGGGACCGAGGCAGGAUGCCACCUCCUCCGAGGGCUCUCCUGGUGCCCUCCUAAGCCACCCAGGAUCUCUUCCUCCUGAGGCCUCCUCUUAUAGCACCUGUCACCUGUCAUUGCUGAAUGACAAGGACCUGCUCGAGGGGCCCCUCUCCCCUCCAUCCUCUGGGUUUCCGGAGGGCUGGGCCCUCUCCUCAAAGGCACUUCUCCGCUUGGCUCCCUGACUUGGUUUAGCUCUUCCGGCUCCAUCCUUUCCAUGGCAGCCAGAGAUCUUUGCAAACACAUAUCCGACGGCAUCACUCCCCUGCUUAAAACCCUUCCAGGAGAGGUGAGAGUUGGCAAAACAAACAAAACAUGCCCGUGAACCCUUUCUUGGGAAACCCGCUGGAGGAUCUGCUUCACCAAAGUGCAGGAGUACACCAAGAAAAAGGAAGCUAUUAGAUCAAGGAAAGAUCUAGCCCGGAAGACAGGCCAAAGGAAGGAAGGCCCAGAUGAAGGUAAAGACAGCGCGUCAGACAGCUGUGCGGCAGGUCCAGGGAGAACCCGCCACCGUAAAAGCACAGAGAAAGGCGGACAAUGAACAAGCUAAGCCUGCCACUUCAGAAGCUGGAAACAGUAUCAACCACAGAUAAACCGAAGACAGAAGGAAGGAAAUGAUUUUUUAAAAAAAGCAGAUGCCUGACUCCCAUGCUGAUUCAGGUGAUGCUCCCCUCCCCGACCUUGGCCUCCAUCCCGGGGUCGAGGAGGUCAGAGGGCUGGGCACAGCGCCGUGCCCAGGAAAUACACUUGGCCACAGGCAUACGGGCGUCGGUGGCAGGACCCCAGGGCUCUGCUCCUGCUCCUUCUAUCCUCCCCUCUCUCUACCCUGACAGCCCUGCUACCCCUUUGUCCGCAGUCCCGAUCCAUCCAUCCUCAUCCGGACGCGGGGUCUGCUGGUCUCUCUCCCCUUCUCAAGUGUUCCUCUCUGAGAGCUCCCUGAUGGCAGGAAUCAUCCAAAUAAAUCUGCAGGAUCUAGAGAUCCAGCGGGUAGCCAGAGUCCAAACAGAGCCGCCAGCCCCCCAGCUUUCCCACUCCCCAGGGUGUGACUGUAGGCAGGGUCCUUAGCCUCCUGUGCCUCAAUUUCCCCCACUGUAAAACACAGAUAAUAAUGGCACCCACCCAAGGGCUGGCUGAUGAGUCACUGAGAUCUCGGGGCCAGCGAGGCACCCAGGAGAGGCCAGUACGAAAGUGCCAGGAUUAUGAAGAAAAGGUGAGACUACUGAAGAGUCUGACCGCCACGGACCGAGCCAAAGACGUCCUCUUUAUUUCACAUUCUGAAAUGAAACCGAUCGGAAUCCCUCACACUAAUCAGCAUAUGGCCAUCCCUCUGUUAUCACUGGGUCCUGGGGCUCACCUAGUAACUAAGCGGUAUUUACAGAGCAGCUACCCUGGGCCAGGCACUGGUCUGGGCAGCAGGGAAUACGCAGGGGCCUGGAGACGGAAAUCCUUGUCCUCCAGGAUCGGAGAGAGGGGAAAAUAAAGAGUCAAAUUCAAGGUGCUGCAGGGAAGCAAAUACAGCAAGUAGAGGGGAUCAGGAAUGGAAAGUGGGAGUUAGGAUCUUUUUUUUUUAAUUUUUUUUAGGGCCACACCUGCAGCAUAUGGAAGUUCCCAGGCUAGGGGACGAAUCAGAGCUACAGCUGCCGGCCUAUACCGCAGCCACAGCCACACAGGAUCUGAGCCACGUCUGCGACCUCCACCACAGCCACUGCAACUUGGGAUCCAAGCCCUGUCUGCAAUCUACACUACAGCUCACGGCAAGGCUGAAUCCUCAACCUUCUGAGCAAAGCCAGGGAUGGAACCCACAUCCUCAUGGAUACUGUGGGAUUCGUUUCUGCUGCGCCACAACGGGAACUCCCUUUCUUUUUUUUUUUUCUUCAAUUUUUGGCCGCCCCAUGGUAUAUGGAGCUCUCAGGCCAGGGGUUAGAUCUGAGUCGCAGUUGUGACUAAUCUGCAGCUGCAGCAACACUAGAUCCUUGACCCACUGUGCUGCGCCAAGGAUUGAACCGUGUCCUAGCACACCAGAGAUGCUGCCGACCCCAUUGCUCCACAGCAGGAGCUCUGGGAGUUAUGAUCUUAAUUGAAGGGUCAGGAGAGUAUCAAAGAGCAAGUGGCAAGAUAAGCAUUUUAGAAAACCUAUAAGCACAGGCUGCAAACACAUUUAAGAUUUGAAGAAAAGGCAAAAUCACUUGGAAAGGAGACACAAUUUCUAAGACAAACCAACAAAGGAAAGGGGGGAAAAAAAGUGUCACGUCACCCCAGAUGUGACAAACAGGUACAGGGAUGAGGAAGAAGUUGGCAACUCUUCUCCAAACCAACAGAUUUUCAGAUAAUUCACUGAGACCAGGGGAUAAAAUGUUAAAAAUCCAGGAAAGCAAUGACCACCAGGCAAAGCUGGCACAAGGGACUGAAAAUGAAGCAGGGAUAGAAACACCCAAUCCAGAAGAAAGAACACAAAUGCCACCAGAGCUGUAAAACUGCCCCAGUGUUAUGACAACAGCAAGCUCCCCAAGGGCCAGGUAUUGGCCUGAACCUGGUACAAGCCCUGGCACAUAGUAGUACCCUAGCAACACGCAGGGGGUGAACCCCCAAUUCUCCAGAAGAGGAAACCGAGGCCCAGAGAAGUUAAAGGACUUGCCCAAAGUCACAGAGCAGGUGGGUGAUGGGAGUCAGGAUUCGGCUCUGGGUGUCCUGGUUCUGGAGCACGUGUGCAAUACAUUUUUCUUGGAGAAACAAAAUUAUUCAAAAGACCUCACACUUGUUAAAGGCUUACUACGCACUAGGCACGUUAUACAUGUUACCACAUCGACCCUUGACAAGAGCCUCGUGGUUGGAAGGUGGUCCCAUUUUACAUACGAGAAAACUGAGACCCAGCAAUGGGAAUGCAACUUGGCCAAGGACACACAGCAGCAGAGGUGGGGAUAUGAAUGUGGGCCUAUCUGUAGCCAAUGCUUUUCACCCUAAGCUCUCCUAUCAGAGUCAGAGACCUUAUGGGUCAACUCAGGAAGCCUCACAACAAAUGAGCCCAUUUCAAAAUGACUUAGAAAGUUGCCACACUGCCCAGGGAAGUCCUAAGGACCAAAAGGGUGGGGGGGGGGCAGAAAACCCACACAGUUGUUAGAAAUAGUUCCUGCUCACUGAAAUACCUGGAGUUGGGCCAGGCUGGGCAUGGGCGAGUGAAUUAUUUAUCUUUGGCUGUGGCUAGGAAUGGGAAUGGGGACAGAUUGAAUUUCUGAGCACCCCCUCAAGGAGUGACCCUUGGACCUAGGAGCCCAGGGGUAGAGAACUAGAAGGCAGCCUGGCUGAUGUUUUCCUCACUGGUCCUUCACUACCGCCCUCUCUCAAGUCUGAGUUUCUCAUUGCCAUUCAAAAAAAAAGACAACUCAUACGUAUCAAGCGCGUACUCCAAGCACGUGACCUGCUUCCCUCCCCAAACCCUCUAACCAUCCUAGGGUUACUGAUCCCACUUUACAGUUGAGGAGCCGCUCAAAGACUUACUCAAGGUCACACAGUAAGUAAGGAGUAGAACUAAAAUUCAAAUUGAGGAGCUCUCUUGUGGCCCGGUGGGUGAAGGAUCUGGCAUUGUCACUGCAGCAGGCUCAGGUCACUGCUGUGGUGGGGGUUCGAUCCCUGGCCCCGGCGAACUUUUAGAUGCCAAGGGUGGGGCCAAUACAUAGAUAAAUAAAUAAAAUUCAACCUGAAGACUGCUUUCAGUUCUCAAGUCUCUGCCCUACUCAUGACACUUCAGUACCAGGAAAGGGGACUGUAUUACAGAGCUGAGAGCACGGACUCUGAGCCAGGAUGCCGAGGUUGGACUCCUGAGUCAACCACUCAUGCUGGCUGACCUUGGAAAAGUUGCUGAACCUCUCUGUGCCUCUGCUUCCUCUCUGUAGGAUGGAGACAACUUAAGGGGUGUUGUCAGAAUCAAAUGAGUUAAUACAAACAACUACGAACAGGGCCAGGCACUUCCUAAACAAUUAGUGUGAGCUGGAGUUGACUGUGGGGAACCCCUGCAUGCUUCUGAGCGGGGCUGUGCCCAGAUCAGUGCCAGAGUUUGAGAAAACGCCCCUGGGGCUGGGCUGAAAAAGAGGGAAUCCAUUAGCACCUGUGACCCAGUCACAUUCCUGGAGCAGGGAACUUCCCACCAACAGCUCUGGGAUGCAAGCCUCCUCUCUUCUCAGCGGCAUUUUGUUCCCACAAUACAGAUAAGGGCACUGAGUUUCAUAGAGAGGGGACACUUGCCCAGGUCGCAAAGGAAUGGCAGAAGAAAAGAACUGAGUGCUGGACCGUCUGUACACAUAAACCACUACACUUUUCUAAAUCCCAUUAGAGAAAUGUGAGUGCAAAAGGUUGUCUCGAUGGCCCUUUCUGGCCAUAUCAUCCUACAGUUCUGUGACUGUCCAGUUAUCGGGAGUCUCUGGCUGGGCUAAGUAAACUAUCGCUACAUGCAGGCCCCUAAUCUCAUGCUCCUCACCCCACCCACAGUCCCGGGUCCUAACCUACACACCACUCUACCAUUGAUUUCUCUCUUCUACCAUCUCAGCUUGUCCUCCUGCCCCCAAUCCGAUCCAGAGGCUCCAACCCACGGCAUCCACAGCUGGCCUCUCCCUCCGGAGCCUCCAGACCCCCUCAUUCAUCUAGCACUGACUCCUAAUGCCUUUCAACAUCCCCUAGGCUAAACCCCUCGAAAUUGCCCCCUUCAGUGCCUCUGUCUGGACGCCCAGCCCCUUCUCCAACUCGGGACUCCUUCCUCCAGCUCUGAGCUCCCUUACAAUCAAUCCCAAAGCUCGACUCUCUCCCCAUCUUCAAGACCCAUCCCCAACCCCCAUUCUUCUACUACUCUCUCCGGCUCCCAUUUCUCCCAAUCCCAUCCCCCAAACGAUCUCCCCUCAUCCAGCCCCUUCUUUAGCUCCUGCCUCUUCCCUCUCGCCACCGGGUCCCAAACGCCCGCCCCAGUUCGCAAGCGCCCCUGGCCCCAGCUCAGCGUUCUCACCAUCUCCCCGCGCUGCAGCUCCCUCGGCUACGCGGGUUUCCCCCACUCGCUCCUCUCC
Molecule: long non-coding RNA, 6835 nt
Filed under: Sus scrofa (pig)
Lineage: Eukaryota; Metazoa; Chordata; Mammalia; Artiodactyla; Suidae
Description: lncRNA (ENSSSCG00005027225.1)
Source: RNAcentral